UACGUGGGGUGCGAGCGUUGUCCGGAAUUAUUGGGCGUAAAGGGCUCGUAGGCGGCUUGUCACGUCGGGUGUGAAAGCCCGGGGCUUAACCCCGGGUCUGCAUUCGAUACGGGCAGGCUAGAGUGUGGUAGGGGAGAUCGGAAUUCCUGGUGUAGCGGUGAAAUGCGCAGAUAUCAGGAGGAACACCGGUGGCGAAGGCGGAUCUCUGGGCCAUUACUGACGCUGAGGAGCGAAAGCGUGGGGAGCGAACAGG
This 253-nucleotide ribosomal RNA is filed under the name uncultured bacterium. RNAcentral describes it as "partial 16S ribosomal RNA". It matches the Rfam family "Bacterial small subunit ribosomal RNA", at positions 524 to 776 of the family's 1533-position model. The record is from RNAcentral.